ACGAACGCUGGCGGCGUGCUUAACACCUGCAAGUCGAACGGAAAGGCCCUGCUUUUGUGGGGUGCUCGAGUGGCGAACGGGUGAGUAACACGUGAGUAACCUGCCCUUGACUUUGGGAUAACUUCAGGAAACUGGGGCUAAUACCGGAUAGGAGCUCCUGCUGCAUGGUGGGGGUUGGAAAGUUUCGGCGGUUGGGGAUGGACUCGCGGCUUAUCAGCUUGUUGGUGGGGUAGUGGCUUACCAAGGCUUUGACGGGUAGCCGGCCUGAGAGGGUGACCGGCCACAUUGGGACUGCGAUACGGCCCAGACUCCUACGGGAGGCAGCAGUGGGGAAUAUUGCACAAUGGGCGGAAGCCUGAUGCAGCAACGCCGCGUGCGGGAUGACGGCCUUCGGGUUGUAAACCGCUUUCGCCUGUGACGAAGCGUGAGUGACGGUAAUGGGUAAAGAAGCACCGGCUAACUACGUG
Molecule: ribosomal RNA, 467 nt
Filed under: uncultured bacterium
Lineage: Bacteria
Description: partial 16S ribosomal RNA
Rfam family: Bacterial small subunit ribosomal RNA
Source: RNAcentral